UAUUUAUGUAUUUAGACCGCAGACAGUAGGUGAGUAAUCUUAAUUUCCUACCGAGGUUUGAAAAUUCAUUAAUUUAAUUUGAUUUUUCAAGUCUCACAAGCGGUGUGAGAUUUUUUAUUUA
Molecule: small RNA, 121 nt
Filed under: uncultured Peptoniphilus sp.
Lineage: Bacteria; Bacillati; Bacillota; Tissierellia; Tissierellales; Peptoniphilaceae
Description: Ribosomal protein L10 leader
Rfam family: Ribosomal protein L10 leader
About the family: This family is a putative r-protein leader autoregulatory structure found in B. subtilis and other low-GC Gram-positive bacteria. It is located in the 5' untranslated regions of mRNAs encoding ribosomal proteins L10 and L12 (rplJ-rplL). A Rho-independent transcription terminator structure that is probably involved in regulation is included at the 3' end.
Source: RNAcentral